This is a small nucleolar RNA of Chiloscyllium plagiosum (whitespotted bambooshark), 176 nucleotides long. RefSeq annotates it as small nucleolar RNA SNORA81. The record is from RefSeq and is a predicted model, not a curated record. NCBI's taxonomy places the organism in Eukaryota, Metazoa, Chordata, Chondrichthyes, Orectolobiformes, Hemiscylliidae.
AUUGUCCUUUGCAAGCAUCCUGCUGUAGCUGGGAACAUUGGUUAAUUCUGAUGUUCUUAACAAUGACAGUUGGAUUUGUUGGGACAUAGAUUAAUGCCCCACCCACAUUGACUUGGGAGGAGUGGACCUCUUUCUUAAUGUCCAGUGCUUUUACCUGUUGAUGUGGUGGCACACUC